UACGUAGGGGGCAAGCGUUGUCCGGAUUUAUUGGGCGUAAAGAGCGUGUAGGCGGCCAUGCAGGUCCGUUGUGAAAACUCGAGGCUCAACCUCGAGACGUCGAUGGAAACCGCAUGGCUAGAGUCCGGAAGAGGAGAGUGGAAUUCCUGGUGUAGCGGUGAAAUGCGCAGAUAUCAGGAAGAACACCCGUGGCGAAGGCGGCUCUCUGGGACGGUACUGACGCUGAGACGCGCAAGCGUGGGGAGCGAACAGG
This 253-nucleotide ribosomal RNA is filed under the name uncultured bacterium. RNAcentral describes it as "partial 16S ribosomal RNA". It matches the Rfam family "Bacterial small subunit ribosomal RNA", at positions 524 to 776 of the family's 1533-position model. The record is from RNAcentral.